Cyprinus carpio (common carp) is the source of this 552-nucleotide long non-coding RNA. RefSeq lists it as uncharacterized. The transcript is spliced from 3 exons. Lineage: Eukaryota; Metazoa; Chordata; Actinopteri; Cypriniformes; Cyprinidae. The record is from RefSeq and is a predicted model, not a curated record.
CUGAAACUGCGUAAAAAGUUUCUCUGAAAUGCAGUCUCAUUUUGCGGUUCCUUUUGCGAACCUUGUAUCCCCUUUGCGUUUGACUGACUCAUAAAUAACACAUUAAAAUGAAGAUUAUUCUUGCUUGUUUAUCUUUGACGUGGAAACGGAGGGUUUUCCGUGUUAUUCCGGUGUGGUGUUUGAGCAGGCUAGAGAUCAGUGUGAGCGUGCAUCUGUGAGGAACAGCGGAGGCUCGAGCAGGACGGGAGUCACUGGACCGACGGCGAGCGUGAUUUCACCAAGUACAACACGUUCCUGGAUCAACAUUCCAAUCAACCAAUCAGAACUGAGAUAUAACAUUUCAGGACAUAGGCUACAGGAUGUUUUCCACAGUUUUUAAAUGUAAGAUCAUCUUCACACUCAUCUGUAUUGCAUUGUGUAACGAGCCCACCAAGGAGGACUUGAAAUGUUUUAAUGACUAUGAGACAGAAAUGAAAUGCAGUCUCUCCUCUGACCAUCUCCAAAACUGUUCUGGAUACGAGCUCAACAUCACACAUCCUGUAUUAGAUAUGU